Molecule: ribosomal RNA, 301 nt
Filed under: uncultured bacterium
Lineage: Bacteria
Description: partial 16S ribosomal RNA
Rfam family: Bacterial small subunit ribosomal RNA
Source: RNAcentral
CAGUAGCCGCGGGAAUACAGAGGGUGCGAGCGUUAAUCGGAUUUACUGGGCGUAAAGCGUGCGUAGGCGGCUUCUUAAGUCGGAUGUGAAAUCCUUGAGCUUAACUUAGGAAUUGCAUUCGAUACUGGGAAGCUAGAGUAUGGGAGAGGAUGGUAGAAUUCCAGGUGUAGCGGUGAAAUGCGUAGAGAUCUGGAGGAAUACCGAUGGCGAAGGCAGCCAUCUGGCCUAAUACUGACGCUGAGGUACGAAAGCAUGGGGAGCAAACAGGAUUAGAUACCCCGGUAGUCCCUGUCUCUUAUAC